RNAcentral lists this ribosomal RNA (497 nucleotides) under uncultured bacterium. RNAcentral describes it as "partial 16S ribosomal RNA". It matches the Rfam family "Bacterial small subunit ribosomal RNA", at positions 28 to 507 of the family's 1533-position model. The record is from RNAcentral.
GAUGAACGCUGGCGGCGUGCCUAAUACAUGCAAGUCGAGCGAACGGACGAGAAGCUUGCUUCUCUGAUGUUAGCGGCGGACGGGUGAGUAACACGUGGAUAACCUACCUAUAAGACUGGGAUAACCUCGGGAAACCGGAGCUAAUACCGGAUAAUAUUUUGAACCGCAUGGUUCAAAAGUGAAAGACGGUCUUGCUGUCACUUAUAGAUGGAUCCGCGCUGCAUUAGCUAGUUGGUAAGGUAACGGCUUACCAAGGCAACGAUGCAUAGCCGACCUGAGAGGGUGAUCGGCCACACUGGAACUGAGACACGGUCCAGACUCCUACGGGAGGCAGCAGUAGGGAAUCUUCCGCAAUGGGCGAAAGCCUGACGGAGCAACGCCGCGUGAGUGAUGAAGGUCUUCGGAUAGUAAAACUCUGUUAUUAGGGAAGAACAUAUGUGUAAGUAACUGUGCACAUCUUGACGGUACCUAAUCAGAAAGCCACGGCUAACUACGUG